GAUGAACGCUAGCGGCAGGCCUAACACAUGCAAGUCGAGGGGCAGCACAGAAACAGCAAUGUUUUGGUGGCGACCGGCGGACGGGUGCGUAACGCGUAUGCAACCUACCUUUAACAGGGGGAUAACGGAGAGAAAUUUCCACUAAUACCCCAUAACAUCGAUCAAGGCAUCUUGAUUGGUUGAAAACUCCGGUGGUUAAAGAUGGGCAUGCGUUGUAUUAGGUAGUUGGUGAGGUAAUGGCUCACCAAGCCUACGAUACAUAGGGGGACUGGGAGGUUAGCCCCCCACACUGGUACUGAGACACGGACCAGACUCCUACGGGAGGCAGCAGUGAGGAAUAUUGGUCAAUGGGGGCAACCCUGAACCAGCCAUGCCGCGUGCAGGAAGACGGCUCUGUGAGUUGUAAACUGCUUUUAAACAGGGAUAAAGCACAGUAUGUAUACUGUGUUGAAGGUACUGUAAGAAUAAGGAUCGGCUAACUCCGUGCCAGCCGCCGCAGUAA
This 502-nucleotide ribosomal RNA is filed under the name uncultured bacterium. RNAcentral's name for it is "partial 16S ribosomal RNA". It matches the Rfam family "Bacterial small subunit ribosomal RNA", at positions 28 to 523 of the family's 1533-position model. The record is from RNAcentral.